Molecule: long non-coding RNA, 628 nt
Filed under: Rattus norvegicus (Norway rat)
Lineage: Eukaryota; Metazoa; Chordata; Mammalia; Rodentia; Muridae
Description: long non-coding RNA NONRATT023881
Source: RNAcentral
CCUGUUAGAAACAGCUGUCCACUGUUAACAGAGCCAGCCAGCAAGCAGGAGAAUUCCACCUCGGGGAAGCUGCGUUUAAAGAUAAAUAUUUUCCCCCUAUCUGGUAGAUUGCUUGGGUUGAAGGCGUUUUCUAGGGAUCACAGGGGCAUGAUAAUCGGUGUUGAUAAUGGGUGCGCAAACAGUACUUUCUCUAAAGGCCAAACAAACAAGACAAAGGGGACGUUAGGAGGAGUCCCCCCCAAAACAGGAUUUUCUGAAAACCUGACGGGGUGGAACAGCUCUCGGAUGUGGGAAGAACACCAAAACUCAGCUCGGCCAGACAAGCAAGCUGAAAUGUCCAGGUGUAUGGCUUGUAUGCGUGUCUUUGCCACUGUGUGCCUGGUGCCGGAGAAGGACGAAAGAGGAAGCCAUGGGAUCCUGUAGGCUUGAAAUCAGUCCGGCCUGGAACUCACAGAGGUUGGUUUUCCUCUGGCUUCUUCUGGCUUCUAAGCAUCAAGACUCAGGCGUGCACCAUCUUAUCCAGCUUCAACUGGCUUUUCACUGUUCCAACUUAGGGUGCCAGGUUUCCAUAAGCACUUUUACCCACUGAGCCAAUUCCCUGACCUCUUUUUUAAAAAUCAAAAACAGU